UACGGAGGCCGCAAGCGUUGUUCGGAAUUACUGGGCGUAAUGCGCGUGUAGGAGGCUUGGAACGUCGGGUGUGAACUCCCGGAGCUCACCUCCGGAACUGCAUCCGAUACUGCCAAGCUCGAGUCUCUGAGAGGAUGGCGGAAGUUCCGGUGUAGAGGUGAAAUUCGUAGAUAUCGGAAGGAACGCCAGUGGCGAAGGCGGCCGUCUGGACGAUGACUGGCACUGAGACGCGAAAGCGUGGGGAGCAAACAGG
Molecule: ribosomal RNA, 253 nt
Filed under: uncultured bacterium
Lineage: Bacteria
Description: partial 16S ribosomal RNA
Rfam family: Bacterial small subunit ribosomal RNA
Source: RNAcentral